UCUUGGCAUCCAGGCUUCGCCAUCCUGGACGCUGUGCUGCUCUUGAUGCUUGCUAGCAGCAGCAGGGUGGCUGCAAAGGUUAGCCAUGGUGAUUGAACCAGGAAGAUUCUUGUUGACCCAGGGUCAAGACAGCGAGCGGUGCAUGAAAGGAAGUUUCCCUGAGGCGACAUGUUGUAUCUGCAAUCGGGUCAAGUCGUUAAAGGGAGUCUUGCAAAGGACAAUAAGGCAAUCGCCGGUAAAGGGUCAGGAUUAUUCCCUUGGACUAAUUCUGCCGUCUGGGUUGAUUUCAAUCUGAGAGCAGAUUUGCACCACAGGUUUGUCCUUUGGAUUUAUGCUCGACCAAUUUUCUGUUCAAUGCUAUGCACUGUUGGAGUGUGAUUUGUUGUUACAAGGAAAAAUUACGAGCUUCACACCUAUUUAGAAAAGGGUAAAGGAAAGGACUGCCUGUGUUUUGGAA
Molecule: long non-coding RNA, 457 nt
Organism: Hordeum vulgare subsp. vulgare (domesticated barley)
Lineage: Eukaryota; Viridiplantae; Streptophyta; Magnoliopsida; Poales; Poaceae
Exons: 2
Source: RefSeq, a predicted model, not a curated record